Molecule: non-coding RNA, 1320 nt
Organism: Aegilops tauschii subsp. strangulata
Lineage: Eukaryota; Viridiplantae; Streptophyta; Magnoliopsida; Poales; Poaceae
Source: RefSeq, a predicted model, not a curated record
CACCCCCAAAGAACCCGUAGCCUCACAUCCACUCGCGUUAACCCUAUCCACUCUGCCCUGCCCCCAACUUCCGCCGCCGCCGUUCUUGGGGUCUCCAUCCUCGGACACGUCCCUGCCGCCACCGGCGGCCAUAGCCCCGAGCUCCCGGCCCCUCCAUCGCCUGCCUUCCCUGCCCCCUUCUUUGCCACCACAUGGGCAUCUUUGUUGGCCCGAGUCCCCACCGACGGCGGUGAGCAUAACCCAGAUCCCUAACCCCAUCGAUGCAUGCCUUCCCCAUUGACACGGCCACCGACAGCCGCGUCCGCCGGGGCCUUCACCGACCACCGCUAGCCCUCAUGAAGGACCAAGACAGCGACCUCCUCUUCCUCCUCUCAGGGAAAGACCCCUCCUCUUCUUCCUGUCAGGAAGGACCAAGACAUCGCCCUCCUCUUCCUCCUCUCAAGGAAAGAUCCCGUAUGUGAUGAGCUGUUUUUCAGUCAACGCGUGGCGAGUCCACUUGGAACUGAAUAGGCACUGGUUUUUCUUCUUACUCUCCAUGAGCCCUUAUACUACUGCUAUGGUUUAUGUGCCUACUUUUAACUCUCUCGACUAAAAUUGGGCUGCUUUGUUUCAGCUGAUCUGAUAGUGUGGGUGGGAUCUACAGAACAACCUUGAGAUGUGUCUGCGACCAGUCCACAUUCUGCACAACUCCCACAACUUGAAGACCAAGAUCUUUGCCAUUUAAAUGCUUGAGAGAAUAAACUGGAUGGAUGACCAAUCCGAGAAGGGCAUUGAACAAAGUGUAGGUAUCAUGGUCAAUUAUCUGUAAAGGGAACCAUGACCACCAGCAUGCAGCGCAGGCAAUGGGCGGAGAACAGAUGGCUAUCUCUCUGGGAACCAUGGUCACCCACAUGCUGCGGAUAACGAAUGGUGGAUGGAAGGCUACCUCACCAGGAACCAGGUCCACGAGUUAUUGUGGGCAAUCGGUGGCGAACGGAGGGCUACUUUGCCGGGUACCUCAACUACUAGGCACUUAGCCAACUGGUGCACAUGGACGUGAUGACUUUGCAGCGUUUAUGGACCAACCAACUUGUAAUCAUGGAUCUUAUGUGUCUUCUAGACCAUUUGGUGAUUUGGUUAUUUUGGAGCUUGCAUUUUGUGCAUCUGGAUACAGACUUGUGUGUUCUGGAUCAUCUAGUUGAAGUUUCUCAUACCAGCAAAUAGUGCUAUCUUUUUGUGACUUGUGUGUUCUGGGUGAUUGUUAAGAUGGUAAAAACUAUGCUUUGUCAAGAUUGAUGUGUUUGUCAACUUGUGUUCAAUGUAUAUGCACGUUUGUGAAUA